This 339-nucleotide long non-coding RNA is filed under the name Ursus maritimus (polar bear). RNAcentral's name for it is "lncRNA (ENSUMAG00000007597.1)". Lineage: Eukaryota; Metazoa; Chordata; Mammalia; Carnivora; Ursidae. The record is from RNAcentral.
GGGGUCAAAACCCCCUACCCCACCAUUUGGUCUUCUUGCAAAGAAAUAAGGUGACAACCCAUCGCCAACAGCUGUCCAGAACCCACCGCAGCCCGUGUGAGUCCUGCCGGACACCAGUUGUCUGACUGUGAGUCUUCCUGCAAACCUGGGCUUCAACAACUUGAAACUGGUCUACGGACUGAAAGAAGAGAAAACUUGCUCUGUGGUUAUCACAUGAGAAAGAAAAGAUAUCCAAAAAUUUAAGAGAUUAGCAUUGUUUUGUUUGAAUCAACACAUAUGCCAAGUUAUCUGUCCUCCAUCAGCAUGGCUCACAGGGGUCCUUGGUGGACAGCUUCCCAG